RNAcentral lists this ribosomal RNA (253 nucleotides) under uncultured bacterium. RNAcentral describes it as "partial 16S ribosomal RNA". It matches the Rfam family "Bacterial small subunit ribosomal RNA", at positions 524 to 776 of the family's 1533-position model. The record is from RNAcentral.
GACAGAGGGGGCAAGCGUUGCUCGGAAUUACUGGGCGUAAAGGGCGCGUAGGCGGGAUGGCAAGUUCGGUCGUGAAAUCCCUCGGCUCAACUGAGGAACGUCGAUCGAUACUGCUGUUCUUGAGGAUUGCAGAGGAGACUGGAAUUCCCGGUGUAGCGGUGAAAUGUGUAGAGAUCGGGAGGAACACCGGUGGCGAAGGCGGGUCUCUGGGCAAUUCCUGACGCUGAGGCGCGAAAGCGUGGGAGCGAACAGG